RNAcentral lists this long non-coding RNA (309 nucleotides) under Phaseolus vulgaris (common bean). Its description in RNAcentral is "long non-coding RNA (PVUL_LNC000243)". The record is from RNAcentral. Lineage: Eukaryota; Viridiplantae; Streptophyta; Magnoliopsida; Fabales; Fabaceae.
UUCGUCGAUUGAUGGCGCAACUGAACUGGAGCGCGUUGUCCUCAUCCUUCCUCAGCAAACUCAGCAGCUCAAAGAACUCCAAACAAACGGUGAAAACUCCAGGAGUCGACUGAGAUAGCGAGCAGCUGAACAGAAAACACUCGAAGCACCACCAACACAAACUAUGGUUGGGAAUCACGUUUUAUACGUGCCCCACGGUGGGCGCCAAAUGAUCCUGCCUGUUGACUUAGCGCAAGAGCGUUGCCUCGUCACGAUCUUUCUCACCAGUUUGACACCACGUGCCCUCCAAGUCCGCUCCACAGAUAGCCU